Molecule: long non-coding RNA, 267 nt
Filed under: Brassica napus (rape)
Lineage: Eukaryota; Viridiplantae; Streptophyta; Magnoliopsida; Brassicales; Brassicaceae
Description: long non-coding RNA (BNAP_LNC003958)
Source: RNAcentral
UUGGUAACCUCCAGUAGUCUGAUAAUCAGCAGGAUUGUAGUAAGUUCCAGAAUAACUUGCAGUCGCAGCAGGAUAAGAUCCUGGAUUCUGAAAUGAGGAAAUAGGCUGAUAAGGAGCACCUGUGUUUUGAUACGCCCCUGACAGGCUUGGUUGCUGCUGCUGCUGCUGCUGUUGGUAGCCACUGUAGUAAUUGGAAUAUCCGGCGUUUGAGUAGUUUUGUGGUGUGUCAGAAGAGGUCUGGUACGGCGUGUAUCCACUAUAAUCCUG